UACGAAGGGUGCUAGCGUUGCUCGGAAUCACUGGGCGUAAAGCGCACGUAGGCGGACUCUUAAGUCGGUGGUGAAAUCCUGGAGCUCAACUCCAGAACUGCCUUCGAUACUGAGAGUCUCGAGUCCGGGAGAGGUGAGUGGAACUGCGAGUGUAGAGGUGAAAUUCGUAGAUAUUCGCAAGAACACCAGUGGCGAAGGCGGCUCACUGGCCCGAUACUGACGCUGAGGCACGAAAGCGUGGGGAGCAAACAGG
Molecule: ribosomal RNA, 253 nt
Filed under: uncultured bacterium
Lineage: Bacteria
Description: partial 16S ribosomal RNA
Rfam family: Bacterial small subunit ribosomal RNA
Source: RNAcentral